AGCAGCCGCGGUAACACCGGCGGCCGAGUGGUGAUCGUGAUUAUUGGGUCUAAAGGGUCCGUAGCCGGUUUGGUCAGUCCUCCGGGAAAUCUGAUAGCUCAACUAUUAGGCUUUCGGGGGAUACUGCCAGACUUGGAACCGGGAGAGGUAAGAGGUACUACAGGGGUAGGAGUGAAAUCUUGUAAUCCCUGUGGGACCACCUGUGGCGAAGGCGUCUUACCAGAACGGGUUCGACGGUGAGGGACGAAAGCUGGGGGCACGAACCGGAUUAGAUACCCGGGUAGUCCCAGCCGUAAACGAUGCUCGCUAGGUGUCAGGCAUGGCGCGACCGUGUCUGGUGCCGCAGGGAAGCCGUGAAGCGAGCCACCUGGGAAGUACGGCCGCAAGGCUGAAACUUAAAGGAAUUGGCGGGGGAGCACAACAACGGGUGGAGCCCUGCGGUUUAAUUGGACUCAACGCCGGACAACUCACCGGGGGCGACAGCAAUAUGUAGGCCAAGCUGAAGACUUUGCCUGAAUCGCUGAGAAGAGGUGCAUGG
RNAcentral lists this ribosomal RNA (538 nucleotides) under uncultured archaeon. Its description in RNAcentral is "bacterial SSU rRNA". It matches the Rfam family "Archaeal small subunit ribosomal RNA", at positions 460 to 997 of the family's 1478-position model. The record is from RNAcentral.